CGCCUACAUGAAGCUGGAAUCGCUAGUAAUCGCGGAUCAGCAUGCCGCGGUGAAUACGUUCCCGGGCCUUGUACACACCGCCCGUCACACCACGAGAGUUUGUAACACCCGAAGUCGGUGAGGUAACCUUUUGGAGCCAGCCGCCUAAGGUGGGACAGAUGAUUGGGGUGAAGUCGUAACAAGGUAGCCGUAUCGGAAGGUGCGGCUGGAUCACCUCCUUUCUAAGGAA
This 229-nucleotide ribosomal RNA is filed under the name Rossellomorea aquimaris. RNAcentral describes it as "Bacillus aquimaris partial 16S ribosomal RNA". It matches the Rfam family "Bacterial small subunit ribosomal RNA", at positions 1313 to 1533 of the family's 1533-position model. Lineage: Bacteria; Bacillati; Bacillota; Bacilli; Caryophanales; Bacillaceae. The record is from RNAcentral.